RNAcentral lists this ribosomal RNA (496 nucleotides) under uncultured bacterium. RNAcentral describes it as "partial 16S ribosomal RNA". It matches the Rfam family "Bacterial small subunit ribosomal RNA", at positions 29 to 507 of the family's 1533-position model. The record is from RNAcentral.
AUGAACGCUGGCGGCGUGCCUAAUACCUUCCAGUCGCGCGAACAGACGAGGAGCUUGCUCCUCUGACGUUAGCGGCGGACGGGUGAGUAACACGUGGAUAACCUACCUAUAAGACUGGGAUAACUUCGGGAAACCGGAGCUAAUACCGGAUAAUAUAUUGAACCGCAUGGUUCAAUAGUGAAAGACGGUUUUGCUGUCACUUAUAGAUGGAUCCGCGCCGCAUUAGCUAGUUGGUAAGGUAACGGCUUACCAAGGCGACGAUGCGUAGCCGACCUGAGAGGGUGAUCGGCCACACUGGAACUGAGACACGGUCCAGACUCCUACGGGAGGCAGCAGUAGGGAAUCUUCCGCAAUGGGCGAAAGCCUGACGGAGCAACGCCGCGUGAGUGAUGAAGGUCUUCGGAUCGUAAAACUCUGUUAUUAGGGAAGAACAAAUGUGUAAGUAACUAUGCACGUCUUGACGGUACCUAAUCAGAAAGCCACGGCUAACUACGUG